Non-coding RNA from Jatropha curcas, 107 nucleotides. NCBI's taxonomy places the organism in Eukaryota, Viridiplantae, Streptophyta, Magnoliopsida, Malpighiales, Euphorbiaceae. The record is from Rfam.
AAACUAUGGUGGGGACAUUUUCUCAAUAAAUCUUUAAAUCUUUCCCAAGCUUCAUACAAGCUUUCUUGAUCAUGAUGAACAAAAGUCAUGAUCUCAUUUCUCAGCUU